Molecule: ribosomal RNA, 458 nt
Filed under: uncultured bacterium
Lineage: Bacteria
Description: partial 16S ribosomal RNA
Rfam family: Bacterial small subunit ribosomal RNA
Source: RNAcentral
CCUACGUGAGGCAGCAGUGAGGAAUAUUGGUCAAUGGGCGAGAGCCUGAUCCAGCCAAGUCGCGUGAGGGAGUACUGCCCUAUGGGUUGUAAACCUCUUUUGUCGGGGAGCAAAAGCCGGACGUGUCCGGCUGUGCGAGUACCCGAAGAAAAAGCAUCGGCUAACUCCGUGCCAGCAGCCGCGGUAAUACGGAGGAUGCGAGCGUUAUCCGGAUUGAUUGGGUUUAAAGGGUGCGCAGGCGGAUGUUUAAGUCAGCGGUCAAAUCGUGGGGCUCAACCCCAUCCAGCCGUUGAAACUGGGGAUCUAGAGUGUGCGAGAGGUAUGCGGAAUGCGUGGUGUAGCGGUGAAAUGCAUAGAUAGCACGCAGAACCCCGAUUGCGAAGGCAGCAUACCGGUGCACAACUGACGCUCAGGCACGAAAGCGUGGGUAUCGAACAGGAGUAGAUACCCUUGUAGUC